GUUCUGGGCUUCUGGCUGCAUUCUAGGAAGAUCAUUCCUUAAAAGAAAUAGCCAUAUGGCUUAUAAGACAUGGAAUAAACUUGACAAGUGCUAAAGAUGCUCUUUGAUUUUUGUGUGGCAUGAGACCUCAGGCUGAAACUUCUCAUCUGAGCCAUUGAAGGGAGCCUCUCAUCUCUCCACUGAGAGGGGAGACCAGAAUGCUCUGUUUCUGGCAGGAAUCUGACACCACUUACUCCUUGGGUAGAAACUCCCCCAAGUCUGAACUAUGUGAUUGCCUGAGCCCUGCUCCUUGUUCAUUAAGACUGCUCCUCUGAAACGGAAUUGAUGAAUUUUUAGUGGCUAUUAGAAGCAUUUGGGAUCCAUAGGCAUCAGGGUUUGAUGCAUGGCCCUCAUCUCUGUGGGCUCCUGUGCAAUGAUUCUCAUCUGUCUUAGUUAGAAAGUGAAUUAAUCUUGACCUUGGCCUCAGGGGUGUGGUUCUCUGCCCUCUUACACAUCUUCAAUUCGCUUCUUUAUCAGAAGCACUUGUUUUAGGCCCAGGCUCCCCCAAUUUUAAUGACAUUUAGACAUUUGUCUUUAAGUUACAUUGCUUUGAUUUUAAUCAAAAUCUAUAUUUCUCGUAUUAUAUGUUUCCAGAAAGUUCUCAUUCUGGGUUGUAAUUUAAUUACAUGGAUCAUUAAAGCUUUGAAGGAUGCUAAUGGGCAGAAAAAAGAGACUUAACAAAACGAAAGUUAUUAUUAGGAAUUACAAAUCACUUAACAUUUCAACAUCACUCGUCGGAUGUGGGCAUUUUGUUGAAAGAGACCUUGUUUUGAACAGUGACAGUGCAGAAGACCUAUGGAAGAAACAAGCUUCCAACUUGAUUUCUAUUGUUAUGCAUGCAUAGCAAAUUAUUAAUUCUAUUCUAAUAGGGUAAUAGAUUUAGAAAUACUAUUAGCAGAAAACUUGAUGUAUUAGGCAAUACUACAUACCACAUUAGUCUAACCGCUCAACUGUAAUUUUUCAUCCAUACUUUCUUGGGAUGUAAAUAAAAUUGAUAUUAUACAAUGAAAAUAAAA
Molecule: non-coding RNA, 1055 nt
Filed under: Pan troglodytes (chimpanzee)
Lineage: Eukaryota; Metazoa; Chordata; Mammalia; Primates; Hominidae
Source: RNAcentral